This 369-nucleotide ribosomal RNA is filed under the name uncultured Glomeromycotina. RNAcentral's name for it is "LSU rRNA". Lineage: Eukaryota; Fungi; Glomeromycota. The record is from RNAcentral.
UUGAAAGGGAAACGAUUGAAGUCAGUCGUGCUGGCGCGAAAUCAACCUUCUCGUCUUGAGAUCACAUGGCGUGGCGAGCCUCAAAACCGUCACGAAGCGUGAACUCUUUGUGAAAUGGAGCACUUUCGUGUCCGCUGGUUAACAUCAAUUUCGAACGUCAUAAAAAGGCUGGAGGGAUGUGGCUCCUUCGGGAGUGUUAUAACCUUUAGCGGAAUGUGGUGUUCGGGAUUGAGGAUUGCAACGAAUACCUUUAGGGCUGUCCCACCUGGCUUCUCUUUGGUAUCCUGGUGACGACAGCUUGCUGACGUCGUUAGGAUUCGCCUUUGAACAGGUUAGAGUGUGAGCAAAUUCGUUAAGGAUGUUGACGUA